RNAcentral lists this long non-coding RNA (463 nucleotides) under Daucus carota (carrot). Its description in RNAcentral is "long non-coding RNA (DCAR_LNC003798)". Lineage: Eukaryota; Viridiplantae; Streptophyta; Magnoliopsida; Apiales; Apiaceae. The record is from RNAcentral.
CGACUGAAUUUUGUUCCCAUUGAGAUAGAUACACACAUAUAGAUAUAAUUUAGUGAUGAAGUUGCGGUGCUUUUGGUGUUUGAUGAUGCUACGUUUUUGGUAGUGGUGAUGUUGGUGAUGAGGUGUCAACGAUGGUAGUGCAAUGGUAGCGGCAGAGGCAGAGGCGAAGUCACCCACCAUCGCGUCUUCACAGAUCCGCUGUUUACACCUCCUGCUAAAUUAGUGAUUUUCGUCUUGCAAAUUAAUGAUUUGUGCUAUAUAAAUUAGUGAUUGUCACUUUAGAAAUUGGUGAAACAUCGGGUACAGAACAGAACCUGGUGACAAUGACGACGGGAUGUACCCGUGUCUCCGGGCGAUGGAUGUGAGGCUGGAGGCGACGGAGGUGAGGCUGGAGGUGAUGAAGGUGAGGUUGGAGUGGACGGUGGAGGUUGGAGUGGAUUUGGUGGUGAUAGAAAUAAUGGAG